Molecule: ribosomal RNA, 254 nt
Filed under: uncultured bacterium
Lineage: Bacteria
Description: partial 16S ribosomal RNA
Rfam family: Bacterial small subunit ribosomal RNA
Source: RNAcentral
UACAGAGGUGGCAAGCGUUGUCCGGAUUCAUUGGGCGUAAAGAGCUCGUAGGCGGUUCGAUAAGUCGGGUGUGAAACCUCCAGGCUCAACCUGGAGACGCCACCCGAUACUGUCGUGACUAGAGUCCAGUAGGGGAGCGUGGAAUUCCUGGUGUAGCGGUGAAAUGCGCAGAUAUCAGGAGGAACACCAGCGGCGAAGGCGGCGCUCUGGGCUGGAACUGACGCUGAGGCACGAAAGCGUGGGGAUCAAACAGG